AGGUUCGCAAGCGGGUAGUGUCGAUCUCCUCUGUCUCUCACGUGAGGAAGUGCGGGACGCUUCACGGACAGUGGAGACCUACACACCGACAUAGGAAAACACAAUCUGACAGCCGCACGUACACGACUUCGGCUUCUUUCGCCCUCACGUGCGGGUUUCCUGUCGUCACGUAGCUCACAAAAUUCAGCCCCGGCACUCCGUGUUUCAUCCUCCGCGCCUGCGCUCCGUCUUCUGCGUACACGUCGUUCACGCGCCCACCCAUACGCACGCGGCUCAUAUACGCGUCGCCUCGUGGGCUCCUCUUGCCGGCGUCGAAACCUUCGUUCGCUGUGCUCUCGCCUUCCCCCCAUCGACCUCUUCUUCGCGCAUCUUUUAAAAGUGGAGGGCGUUGCACACGUUUGUGUGCGUGCUUGUGUGCUUGUGUGUGAUCUCUCGCUGUUUUACUGAGCAGACAUCCUCUGCGUUCUCUCCGGCUCCUACAUCCCUUGAUCCCUUCUCCGCCUCCUGCUCAUCUUCCACGUUGGACGCACUCGUUGAUCGUGUAUCACCGUCCAGCUAUCUCCCGUGCACAGACUGCUGCGAUUCUAUUUCGCCUACCUUUCCUCUCUUUUCGUUGGUUUUGUGUGUCGCUCCGUGUUCCGCCCACCCCCCGCUCGCUUUCGCGGUUUGCAACGACCUCUUGUGCGUUCGUUCUGCGCAGGAGUGUGUGUGUGUGUGGGAAGGGGGGAGGGGCGGUGCGUCGGGGUCGAUCUCCUCCUGCUCCCUUCUCUCUGUCUCUGCCUCUGUCUGUCGGCGUGUGCCGUUCGCGUUGCGGGUGUUCGUUGAUCUUUUCCCCCCUCUGACGCCCACGAGCGUCUCCGUUCUCCUCGCCGUCGGUAUUGCCUUCCGUACUGCCUCACGCACCAAUACACGCAUCUCUCGCCACACCGUCUCUCUUGUCGUUGUUGUGUGCGCCUCUGUGUGUGUGUGCGUGUGUGUCCGUCUGUCUCUGUCGUCUCUUCGUCUUCCCCCUUUCUUUCAUUCAUAUAAUCGUAGCCCGCCUUGCCGCUUCUGCUGCUGAUACGGGUGGUGCUGCAUCAUCAUUCCCACGACUACUACUGCUGUUAUUUUCCUUGUCCAUCCCCCUUUCCCUGUGUCUGUGUGUGUGUGUUGCGCUGUGCAGGAGUGGGGGGGGCAACACUCACGCGCACCGUUUUGAUCUCCGAACGUUUACAUGCAGAUCGGCAUGUCGCACUCGUCGGGCGAACCUCCUCUGCCUCCUCGCCGCCUCGCGUCCCCCGCCUCUGAUCGAUUCGGCCCACUUCUGUGUGCGUGCUCGCCAUUACGUGCGUACUGUGCUCUCCUGCCCGUCUGUCGCCGUCUAUCAUGCCGCUGACGCAGUCGCCGUCCCACACCCCGCCUGCCGCAGGCAGCGGCGGCGACAAGGAGGACGAAGCGGCAAAGACCUGCAUGGCGCCGGAGCGGACGUCGCGGGUGCGAUCCUGCCCAUCACUCCGCUCUGCCAGCGGUGCGACAGCCGAUCCCGACACCUCUGCGGCAACUUCGGAAGUGGUCGGCGGAGACGGUGAAGCUGAGUGCAGUGAUGUCGAAAACCAAAUCGUCUCGGGCACGCAGGAUCAUGCGCUCCUGCUGCCCCGGCUGUCGUCCUCGAUCAGCAUUACUGGCUCGGCAUCGUCGCUCCUGCGACGCCAUCUAUCUUCCUUCUUUAGCGGUGGCGGCAGCACCAGAACUGCCGCCAGAGGCGACGCCAGUAGCAGUAUGGCGGCACCGGAUCGCACUUCGUCUUCCUCCCAAGAAGCCACCACUGCGAAUUCGGAGGUGGAUGGAAAGCCGCUCGAGCGACCGCUGGGCUACAGCAUCAACUCGACCGCCGCUGGCGACUCCGCAUUGGCACCAUCGCGUUCCUCGGUCCAGGGCCGAAGUGUCUCCAGCGUUAGCCAUCGUCUUUAUCGGGCCUACUCCCUCUUCUGGGCUGAUGCAACGGCGUCCUUGGCGUCGCCGUCGACGCUUCUGUGGGGCCCAACACGAACAGCCAGCGCGCCGCUGCCACUGAGCAGCAGCACUCGGGUUGGUCACGAAGAUGCUCCAGAUGCAAGCAUAGAAGCCGUCGUGGCGCACGUGGAGGCAGAGGACUGCUCAGAGUUGACGAGGGCAACCGCAGCGGCAUCAUCCGUGCCUCGAGCAAGGAAGGCAGCACGCGACGGCGGCACUGACGCCAUCCCCCAUCCCCGCAUCGCGAGCGUCGAGCAAAACGGCUGCAGCACCUUUACGGAAGUCACUGCGAAGCAGUCGCCGAUGCUGUCGAUGCGCGGAGCUGCAGACUCAUCCUCUGCUCUGGCCUUUGGCUGCACCCCGCCGGAAGACGUCUUUCGGCGCGAGGCGGUGGCGCAGCACGUCGGUGAGGACGAAAGCAGCUCAUCGAAUUUGAGGUUCUUCUCCUCCACUGCCACCCCCGGCAUGCAUCACGCGCUGUACGCCGUCCCGGGAGCGGAGCAGCACCGUUUCCCAUCGGAAAGUGCAGACGACGCGGGUGACUCUCACCAUUCCAGAGGUUGUAGCAGCGACAGCAAGCCGAGAGAUGCCAGCCGCAAAUAUGUGGCGAAGGAGCGGAGGCCGGGUCGCUACCAGAGUAACGACUUCCACGGUGCAGCGCGAUCGAGGAGCGGGGAUGUCGAGUGUAUCACUAUGUCUUCUCUCGUCGCCCACGUAGCCGUGCCUCCAACUGUCCAGGCAGUGCUGCGGAACUCGGAUGCCACCAAGGAGGAGCUGUGGAUGGCACUGCGAACAGCCUGCCAGCAAUGUGAAGUGCUUCAGCGUCGUCUCGCCCGAGCUGAGGGUGCGCUGGGCAACGAAGAGGAGGUCGAAUGGACAGAGGGCGAGGUCGGGGCGACGGCUGAAGGGGGUGCGCUCGCGCACGUCACAGCCCACCGGCGCCGGAGCGGCAAUGCGGGCAGGACGUCAAGGAGGCCCUGGCGCAGGCACGCCGAUGACGAAGAGCGCACGGCUCCCAAUGCUGGUGGCGCUGUCGAAGGCGUGAGUGAAGGGGAGAAGAGCAUCGCAUCUGAGCAGGCCGACUCAGGGCAGAUGCGCAGCAGCACCGCUCCGCCGACUCCCACACGAACGGACCGCCAAGUCCACCCGGGACACCGAGCGCGGAGGCGCAUUGCGGAGCUGGCCGCUGCUUCUUCUUCAGGCGCUGCUGCUGCCGUCGCGUCAUCGACUCCCCCAUUUCUGGUGUCUGCCCUGCCCGACGGAAGCACCAACGCUGCCGACUUGGACCCUCAUUCCGGGCGUGGUGGUGGCACCGGUGACGCGUCUUCGGUGCUGCGCCAUCGCGUGUCGGAGGCGAUUCGCCGCGUCGAGGCGAAGCGAAAUGGCCCGCUGCGCUCCCCGCACGCGCUCCAGUCACCCGAGACGCACACGCGCCCCAACAGCAGCGGUUUGGAUGGGCCAACGAGCUCGCACGAUGCCGAUGACACCACGCAAAACAGCAGCGACCACCUGCGUCUUUCCCUCUCGCCUCCACCGCAGCCUGAGGCUCAUGGGAACUCCCACAGCACGUCCUCAUCGGAUCUGCAAGCUAGUGGUGCGCGGCACGUCCGUGUCGAGGAUGACGCGCCACCUACUCUUGCACCAACUCCUGGGCUGACCGCGCAUGACCCUCUGAGCCCGACCCGCAUCGAGAGCGGCAGCUCAUCCAGUGGUUCCGACGCAGGCGCUGCGCCGUUGCAUGCGUCUAGGAAUGAAGUCGUGGACAGUGGAGGUGAGACGGCUGGCCCUGGCGAGAGUGGCAUCCUUGUCUCACCCACGCUUCCCGCGAUCACCGAGGUUCAGGCAAAAGCCCCCGUCGCUCAAGACAGCUAUAACUCCGCGGAGCGAGUGCGGCUGGUGCAGUCGCCACAGCAACAGCUUCACCGCCGUCAUCGCGGUGCGUCGUUGGUGUCGCUUUACUCUGCUCCCGCAGCGCUCGACGAGAGCGUGCACUUCAACGGGCCGGCUACCGCGGCGGAAAGCCUGGCUACACUGCAAACAGCUGCAGCCUUCAAGCCGGCCAGCUGGCCGUCUAACGGUCUGCAGUCGAGCUACAGCGGUGGUCGAAGUGCCGGCUUCCAUAGCCGCAGCCCACUCGCGUUCGGCAGCCCGACGCUGCCGAAUACAACGCAGCAUCGGUCGGGGUGGACAGCAUCAACAGGCGCCAACGGUGCUUCCACGGCGGUCAUCGCCAGUCAUGUGACUCCUCUCAGCGGUACGCCGCCUAGUCUGCACUCGUCCGCUCUUUUCGGACUUCCGGCCCCUCCACGUAGUCCCCUCCGCAGUGAGUCAAGUAUGUCGUCUGUCGAGCCGGCGUGGUUGCGACAGCAGCAGCAGCAGCAGCACGCAACGGCGAAGGCGACUCCCUCCAGGGCCGCCGCCGCUGCGCGCAUCUCUGCUGAAGCCAGCCAGCAGGGGUCUCUCUCGUCUACUCGAUCGUGCAGCCCCAACAAGGCGGCUCUUUCGGCCGCCUCCGCGACACUGGAGAUGCUCCGGCAGCUACAGCAGGAAGACGCGCCGGUGCCUCCGGUCACUGGCGACGAUCAGAAGGCAGCGCUGCGUCAGUGGAGACGCGAGGCAGCGGUGAAGAAGGGAAGCGGGACCGCGCCGAUGUGCUAGGCGACGCGGAAGCGUCGUGCAACGUGACUUGGGGGCGAGUUUGCAUCUGCCGACACACCUCUCUGCUGUGGGCCGAGGCGGGCGAGCUGUGUCGAUCGGAUCGAUGCUGCGGCAAGGAAGAACAAUGAGGAAAGGCGCGCAUAUACGGGCGCACGCCUUCAACUCCUUUGCUUGCGUGCCGGUUGCCCAUCUGCCCCCACUUCAUGGAGGAGUGAGGGCAGCCUGCCAAUCCGAAAUAUGCGCGCCGAGCACCACCCCACCCCUGUAGCGUCACUCGUAUUUCUGCUCGGUGUGUCUCUUCUGCUGAUGGGUGCGGCCAGACGCAGUUGUCUGCCGCCAUGUCGGUGCGCGCAGGCCUUCUUGAAAUUUUCGUCGUUUGGCUUUCUCUCUCUAUAUCCACCCCCCCCCCCUGCGUCGCGUCGUUGCCUGUGCGUGGCGUGGUGCCCGGAUGGGGGGAUGCGGUCGCCGUGUUGGAGCCGCUCUUUUUUUUUCGAUGGGUGGGGCGGGGUGUGUCUGUGCUUAACGCCGUGGCUCGAAGGCGGCUUUGAGGAGUCUUUCGUAUGUUGUGCGUGCUGCAUCGACGCGCUGUGUAUGUGCGUGUGUGUGCCCGCCUGCGUGAGUGUUUUGUCUUGCGUGUGCACGCGCCGUUGUCGCGCAGACGCUUUCUCUCGGUGUUUUUGCAUGCGUGAUGCGAUCGCUCGAUAUGCUUCACCCCGUUCUGUGUACGCACGUGCGUGUUUGGGGGGAGGGAGAGGUUGUGUGGGCCGCUAAAGCAGUGCGACCCCCGGUCUUUAAGGGUGCCAGUGCGAGACAAGAAAAAAAAGACAUCAUCAAGCCUCUCUCUCUCAUACCGGCGCUGAUGCCUCACGGAUUCUCAGCGCGUGUGCGCGCGCUCUUAUAUUGCUAGGAUGGUCCUCAACCCAAAGAGCAAUGAAAGUGGUGCAAGCAUAACAAGGUAUGGGCGGAGCUUAGCAGGUGGGGAGGGGCAUCAUUCACUUCCUUUCAUCACUGCCCUUUCACGGGGCCGGCGUGGUUGACGGUGGUGAUAGCUUGUGCCGCUGCUGCAGCGACCGAGACGACGCCCCCCCCGUGCGCACUUUUCCCCUCAUCUCACCUCCUUGCUCCUUCAGCGAUCUCGGUUGAGGAUGGGACUGCACAAAACGACUCUGGUGAGCCCGUGCAUCGACGGAGAGGGCGCUCGGCAUGCUCAGGCGGUGCCCACCCUCUCCCUGGCACCUCCUGGCGAAGGCGCAGAGUUUGUAAGACCGGUGCAGCACUCGCGUCAUGCGCGGACGCCGUCCCAUGAUCGCCUCCCCAGCAGCUCUCUCUCUCUCUGCGCGUUGCACUCCUUCCCUCCCUUCUCCCUCUCGCGGCAUCUUAACUUCGACUCCGUUUAACCGCGCAUCACACUCGUACACCCACGCGCACGUCCACAG
RNAcentral lists this unclassified non-coding RNA (6086 nucleotides) under Leishmania donovani. Its description in RNAcentral is "gene:LdHU3.12.0290(CDS-product:hypothetical_prote in_conserved)". The record is from RNAcentral. Lineage: Eukaryota; Euglenozoa; Kinetoplastea; Trypanosomatida; Trypanosomatidae.